This 251-nucleotide ribosomal RNA is filed under the name uncultured prokaryote. RNAcentral describes it as "partial 16S ribosomal RNA". It matches the Rfam family "Bacterial small subunit ribosomal RNA", at positions 524 to 774 of the family's 1533-position model. The record is from RNAcentral.
UACGGAGGAUGCGAGCGUUAUCCGGAUUUAUUGGGUUUAAAGGGUGCGCAGGUUGUUUGAUAAGUCAGUGGUGAAAGUCUGUCGCUUAACGGUAGGAUUGCCAUUGAUACUGUUGGACUUGAAUAUGGAUGAGGUAGGCGGAAUGUGUAGUGUAGCGGUGAAAUGCAUAGAUAUUACACAGAACACCGAUUGCGAAGGCAGCUUACUAAUCCAUCAUUGACACUGAGGCACGAAAGCGUGGGGAUCGAACA